Long non-coding RNA from Trematomus bernacchii (emerald rockcod), 441 nucleotides. RefSeq lists it as uncharacterized. The record is from RefSeq and is a predicted model, not a curated record. The transcript has 3 exons. NCBI's taxonomy places the organism in Eukaryota, Metazoa, Chordata, Actinopteri, Perciformes, Nototheniidae.
AGUCCAACAUCCAUCUGAGAGAGCUGGACCUGAGUGCCAACGCUCUGAAGGAUUCAGAUGAGAAGCUGCUGAGAGAUCUUCUGGAGAGUCCAGACUGCAGACUGGAGACCCUCAGGAUCAGAUGGGGUGAGCCGAUCAGAGCCACGAUCCAGAAGACCUGUGACAGGAAGUGAAGACACACAGAAAGGUGAGAGGUCGUGCCAAGUGAAGUUUAUUUAUUGAGGUUUCACCAUGGAAUAAAUGUAGUUAUAGCUCAGGGAUUCCAGACAAACCCAUGAACCCUAAAACGUGUAAUUAAAAUGUGUGUUUUAUAUUACAUACAUAAUACAUUAUAUUACAUGCAGAGCCUUUCUGUUCAAUUAAAACCCAAGGAAAUAAACAUUUUCAAGGUUAGGUGUUUACAAAUGCAGAAAAAGCUUAAUAUUUAAAAGAAAAGGUUUA